This is a long non-coding RNA of Ruditapes philippinarum (Manila clam), 729 nucleotides long. RefSeq lists it as uncharacterized. The record is from RefSeq and is a predicted model, not a curated record. The transcript has 2 exons. Lineage: Eukaryota; Metazoa; Mollusca; Bivalvia; Venerida; Veneridae.
AAUGGAUACUAACGAGUAGGUGAACUGACGCCAACGAGAGUCUCAUGAAAAGACGGCAUCUCCUCCGAAAUUAAUUGUGAAGGCAUUGUACGAUUAUCAAGCAGAAGAUGAUGAUGAGAUCUCUUUUGAUCCAGGCGAUAUAAUAACAGACAUAGAUCAAAUAGAUGAAGGUUGGUGGAUUGGGACAACAGCAAAUGGAGCACGCGGGAUUUUCCCGGCAAAUUUUGUGGAAGUUUGUGAAAACACUUAAGCUGACGUAACAGAUGUUUAAGGAAACGAGAGUAUUUUUAAAAGAAAAUAAAAAUAGAAUACUUAUAAGUUAUAACUGACUACCCUGAAACGGAUUAUAGUUUACAGCAAUAUUCUUCAGGACUGUUUAAGGCGUAACAACCAACUCCAAUUACCUAUAUGACCAUAGUGUAGCAUGGUCAUUUAUUUUUAUUUAUGUUUAAGAUUAAAACCAUAAAGAAAUGAUAUAAAAAUAUUAUGAUUUGAUAAGACAGACAGAUGUGUUUAAGAAACAAGCCCCGGCCUUAUUCAAUAAAAAUGUGAGCUUUUUAAAAAAAAAAUUCAUGGGUUAAUUUUGAAAACAAUAAGUUAAUGAAUAUGUAGUGAGCUGCAAUGUUACGAACGAUACUUUGGAAAUCUAAGUGUUGCAUAUAUAGAAUGCAAGCAAUGUGAUAUAAACUAUAUUAUGAUGUUCAACUUUUAUUAAACUGAUUAACAACA